GUCUAUAGCCAUAGCACUCUGAACAUGCCUGAUCUCAUCUGAUCUCAGAAGCUAAGCAGGAUUGGGCCUGGUUAGUACUUGGCUAGGAGAAAAAGAGAGAGAACAAAACACCCUGUCCC
Molecule: ribosomal RNA, 119 nt
Organism: Neogale vison (American mink)
Lineage: Eukaryota; Metazoa; Chordata; Mammalia; Carnivora; Mustelidae
Source: Ensembl